UGGGCUAUAGCCAAGCGGUAAGGCAGCGGAUUUUGAUUCCGUCAUUCGCUGGUUCGAAUCCAGCUAGCCCAG
This 72-nucleotide transfer RNA is filed under the name Aquibacillus albus. Its description in RNAcentral is "tRNA-Gln". It matches the Rfam family "tRNA". Rfam says of the family: Transfer RNA (tRNA) molecules are approximately 80 nucleotides in length. Their secondary structure includes four short double-helical elements and three loops (D, anti-codon, and T loops). Further hydrogen bonds mediate the characteristic L-shaped molecular structure. tRNAs have two regions of fundamental functional importance: the anti-codon, which is responsible for specific mRNA codon recognition, and the 3' end, to which the tRNAs corresponding amino acid is attached (by aminoacyl-tRNA synthetases). tRNAs cope with the degeneracy of the genetic code in two manners: having more than one tRNA (with a specific anti-codon) for a particular amino acid; and 'wobble' base-pairing, i.e. permitting non-standard base-pairing at the 3rd anti-codon position. RNAcentral also lists the same sequence under 2 other names. Lineage: Bacteria; Bacillati; Bacillota; Bacilli; Caryophanales; Bacillaceae. The record is from RNAcentral.